This 460-nucleotide ribosomal RNA is filed under the name uncultured bacterium. Its description in RNAcentral is "partial 16S ribosomal RNA". It matches the Rfam family "Bacterial small subunit ribosomal RNA", at positions 338 to 795 of the family's 1533-position model. The record is from RNAcentral.
CCUACGGGAGGCAGCAGUGAGGAAUAUUGGUCAAUGGACGAGAGUCUGAACCAGCCAAGUAGCGUGAAGGAUGACUGCCCUAUGGGUUGUAAACUUCUUUUAUAUGGGAAUAAAAUGUUCCACGUGUGGGAUUUUGUAUGUACCAUAUGAAUAACGGUCGGCUAACUCCGUGCCAGCAGCCGCGGUAAUACGGAGGAUCCGAGCGUUAUCCGGAUUUAUUGGGUUUAAAGGGAGCGUAGGUGGAUUGUUAAGUCAGUUGUGAAAGUUUGCGGCUCAACCGUAAAAUUGCAGUUGAAACUGGCAGUCUUGAGUACAGUAGAGGUGGGCGGAAUUCGUGGUGUAGCGGUGAAAUGCUUAGAUAUCACGAAGAACUCCGAUUGCGAAGGCAGUUCACUGGACUGCAACUGACACUGAGGCUCGAAAGUGUGGGUAUCAAACAGGAUUAGAUACCCUUGUAGUC